UACGUAGGGUGCAAGCGUUAAUCGGAAUUACUGGGCGUAAAGCGUGCGCAGGCGGUUUUGUAAGUCUGACGUGAAAUCCCCGGGAUCAACCUGGGAAUUGCGUUGGAGACUGCAAGGCUAGAAUCUGGCAGAGGGGGGUAGAAUUCCACGUGUAGCAGUGAAAUGCGUAGAGAUGUGGAGGAACACCGAUGGCGAAGGCAGCCCCCUGGGUCAAGAUUGACGCUCAUGCACGAAAGCGUGGGGAGCAAACAGG
Molecule: ribosomal RNA, 253 nt
Filed under: uncultured bacterium
Lineage: Bacteria
Description: partial 16S ribosomal RNA
Rfam family: Bacterial small subunit ribosomal RNA
Source: RNAcentral